AUGUACAGGCCGACGACAUCCAUCGGCCUUACCGGCGGAGGCGAGAAGAAGCUUCCGGUGCUUGUCUACUUCCACGGCGGCGGCUUCUGCAUCGCCAGUUUCGAGCACCCCAGCUUCCAUGCCGUGGCCCUUUGGAUCGCCCACGACCUCCCGGCCAUCGUGCUCUCCGCGGACUACCGCCUCACCCCCGAGCAACGCCUCCCCGCGGCCCACCAUGACGGGGAGACCGUCCUCUCGUGGUUACACCGCCACACUGUGUCCGGCUCCGUUGCCGACGCGUGGCUCGCCGAGUCAGCUGACUUCGACCGAGUGUUCGUCUGGGGCGACUCGUCCGGUGGCAACAUCUCUCACCACAUCACCGUCCGGUACGGCUCCGGCAGCCUCGAUAUAAACCCGGUGCGUAUCGCCGGGUGUGUCCUGCUCAGUCCAUACUUCGGCGGGGAGGAGAGGAUGGCGUCGGAGGCGUGUUCGCCUGCCGACGUGCUCAUGAGCCUUGCGCUGUUCGACCAGAUGUGGCGGCUAGCGCUGCCGGUGGGGGCGACGAGAGACCACCCGGCGGCGAACCCGUUUGGCCCCGAGAGCGCGUCGCUCGAUGACGUCGCGUUCCCACCGGUGCUCGUCCUAAACGCCGAGCAUGACCUGCUGCGUGACCGGACCGCGGACUACGUCGCGAGGCUGAAGGCCAUGGGGAAACCCGUGGAGCUGGUGGAGUUCGAUGGGCAGGAGCACGCGUUCUUCGUCUACGAGCCAUGGGGCGCUGCGGCGGACGAGCUGAUCCGAGUGGUGCGGAGGUUCGUGCACGGCGGCGCGCCGGACACGGCGGCUGCCUUGUCUGGAAGUCCGGAAUUACUCCCUCCCUAA
RNAcentral lists this ribosomal RNA (861 nucleotides) under Triticum aestivum (bread wheat). Its description in RNAcentral is "partial small subunit ribosomal RNA". Lineage: Eukaryota; Viridiplantae; Streptophyta; Magnoliopsida; Poales; Poaceae. The record is from RNAcentral.